This 1068-nucleotide long non-coding RNA is filed under the name Sinocyclocheilus anshuiensis. Its description in RNAcentral is "lncRNA (ENSSANG00000027494.1)". Lineage: Eukaryota; Metazoa; Chordata; Actinopteri; Cypriniformes; Cyprinidae. The record is from RNAcentral.
CUGGGAUGCUGGUUUAAGCUGGUCCUAUGCUGGUCCUUUGCUGGUUUAUGCUGGUCCUUUGCUGGUUUAUGCUGGUCCUUUGCUGGUUUAUGCUGGUCCUUUGCUGGUUUAUGCUGGUCCUUUGCUGGUUUAUGCUGGUCCUUUGCUGGUUUAUGCUGGUCCUUUGCUGGUUUAUGCUGGUCCUUUGCUGGUUUAUGCUGGUCCUUUGCUGGUUUAUGCUGGUCCUUUGCUGGUUUAUGCUGGUCCUUUGCUGGUUUAUGCUGGUCCUUUGCUGGUUUAUGCUGGUUUAUGCUUGGUUUAUGCUGGUCCUUUGCUGGUUUAUGCUGGUUUAUACUGGUCCUUUGCUGGUUUAUGCUGGUCCUUUGCUGGUUUAUGCUGGUUUAUGCUUGGUUUAUGCUGGUCCUUUGCUGGUUUAUGCUGGUUUAUACUGGUCCUUUGCUGGUUUAUACUGGUCCUUUGCUGGUUUAUGCUGGUCCUUUGCUGGUUUAUGCUGGUCCUUUGCUGGUUUAUGCUGGUCCUUUGCUGGUUUAUGCUGGUCCUUUGCUGGUUUAUGCUGGUCCUUUGCUGGUUUAUGCUGGUCCUUUGCUGGUUUAUGCUGGUCCUUUGCUGGUUUAUGCUGGUCCUUUGCUGGUUUAUGCUGGUCCUUUGCUGGUUUAUGCUGGUCCUUUGCUGGUUUAUGCUGGUCCUUUGCUGGUUUAUGCUGGUCCUUUGCUGGUUUAUGCUGGUCCUUUGCUGGUUUAUGCUGGUCCUUUGCUGGUUUAUGCUGGUCCUUUGCUGGUUUAUGCUGGUCCUUUGCUGGUUUAUGCUGGUCCUUUGCUGGUUUAUGCUGGUCCUUUGCUGGUUUAUGCUGGUCCUUUGCUGGUUUAUGCUGGUCCUUUGCUGGUUUAUGCUGGUCCUUUGCUGGUUUAUGCUGGUCCUUUGCUGGUUUAUGCUGGUCCUUUGCUGGUUUAUGCUGGUCCUUUGCUGGUUUAUGCUGGUCCUUUGCCAGCACAUGACCAGCAUAAACCAGCAAAAGGACCAGCAUAAACCAGCAUCAAAACAUACCUAACCAGCAUAUGCUGUUUUUUU